RNAcentral lists this non-coding RNA (21 nucleotides) under Caenorhabditis elegans. The record is from RNAcentral. Lineage: Eukaryota; Metazoa; Nematoda; Chromadorea; Rhabditida; Rhabditidae.
UUGUUUGUGCAAUUGCUAAAA